RNAcentral lists this ribosomal RNA (1254 nucleotides) under metagenome. RNAcentral describes it as "bacterial LSU rRNA". It matches the Rfam family "Bacterial large subunit ribosomal RNA", at positions 1694 to 2925 of the family's 2925-position model. The record is from RNAcentral.
CUGAACUCGGGUUAAGGAACUCUGCAAAUUGAUACCGUAACUUCGGAAGAAGGUAUGCCUUCGACGGUGUAGGGAUUUACUCCCGAAGCUGUUGAAGGUCGCAGGUAAUCGGUGGCUGCGACUGUUUAUCAAAAACACAGGACUCUGCGAACACGCAAGUGGAAGUAUAGGGUCUGACGCCUGCCCGGUGCCGGAAGGUUAAUUGAUGGGGUUAGCCGCAAGGCGAAGCUCUUGAUCGAAGCCCCGGUAAACGGCGGCCGUAACAAUAACGGUCCUAAGGUAGCGAAAUUCCUUGUCGGGUAAGUUCCGACCUGCACGAAUGGCGUAACGCUGGCCACACUGUCUCGACCCGAGACUCAGUGAAGUUGAAAUCGCUGUGAAGAUGCGGCGUUCCCGCGGCAAGACGGAAAGACCCCGUGAACCUUCACUACAGCUUUACACUGAACUUUGAACCUUUCUGUGUAGGAUAGGUGGGAGGCUAUGAAACUUGGGCGCUAGCUCGAGUGGAGCCAACCUUGAAAUACCACCCUGGGAUGUUUGAAGUUCUAACCUUGGUCCGUAAUCCGGAUUGGGGACAGUGUAUGGUGGGUAGUUUGACUGGGGCGGUCUCCUCCCAAAGAGUAACGGAGGAGUGCAAUGGUACGCUCAGCGCGGUCGGUCAUCGCGCUCUAGAGUGCAAAGGCAUAAGCGUGCUUAACUGUGAGACAGACACGUCGAACAGGUACGAAAGUAGGUCUUAGUGAUCCGGUGGUUCUGUAUGGAAGGGCCAUCGCUCAACGGAUAAAAGGUACUCCGGGGAUAACAGGCUUAUUCCUCCCAAGAGUCCACAUCGACGGAGGAGUUUGGCACCUCGAUGUCGGCUCAUCACAUCCUGGGGCUGUAGCAGGUCCCAAGGGUAUGGCUGUUCGCCAUUUAAAGUGGUACCGAGCUGGGUUCAGAACGUCGUGAGACAGUUCGGUCCCUAUCUGCCGUGGGCGUUGGAAACUUGAGGGUGAGCUGUCCUUAGUACGAGAGGACCGGGAUGGACGUAUCUCUGGUGUUCCGGUUGUCACGCCAGUGGCACUGUCGGGUAGCUAUAUACGGACGGGAUAAGCGCUGAAAGCAUCUAAGCGCGAAGCCCCCCCCACGAUUAGGUUUCCCUGGGAACUCGAUUCCCCUAAAGGGCCGUCGGAGACUACGACGUUGAUAGGCUGGGUGUGUAAGUGCAGCAAUGCAUUGAGCUAACCAGUACUAAUUGCCCGUGAGGCUUGACCG